GAUCCUGGCUCAGGAUGAACGCUAGCUACAGGCUUAACACAUGCAAGUCGAGGGGCAGCAUGGACCCAGCUUUGCUGGGUUUGAUGGCGACCGGCGCACGGGUGAGUAACGCGUAUCCAACCUGCCCUUUACUCCGGGAUAGUCUCCUGAAAGGGAGUUUAAUACCGGAUGUGUUUGUCUUUCCGCAUGGGAGCGACAAAUAAAGAUAAUUGGUAAGGAUGUGGAUGCGUCCCAUUAGCUUGUUGGG
Molecule: ribosomal RNA, 247 nt
Filed under: uncultured bacterium
Lineage: Bacteria
Description: partial 16S ribosomal RNA
Rfam family: Bacterial small subunit ribosomal RNA
Source: RNAcentral